This 28-nucleotide small RNA is filed under the name Bombyx mori (domestic silkworm). RNAcentral's name for it is "ovarian small RNA-16033". Lineage: Eukaryota; Metazoa; Arthropoda; Insecta; Lepidoptera; Bombycidae. The record is from RNAcentral.
GAGUUAACAAAUUUCCUGAGAUAGGGAG